UACGGGGGGGGCAAGCGUUGUUCGGAAUUACUGGGCGUAAAGGGCUCGUAGGCGGCCAACUAAGUCAGACGUGAAAUCCCUCGGCUUAACCGGGGAACUGCAUCUGAUACUGGAUGGCUUGAGAUUGGGAGAGGGAUGCGGAAUUCCAGGUGUAGCGGUGAAAUGCGUAGAUAUCUGGAGGAACACCGGUGGCGAAGGCGGCGUUCUGGACUGUUACUGACACUGAGGAACGAAAGCCAGGGGAGCAAACGGG
Molecule: ribosomal RNA, 253 nt
Filed under: uncultured bacterium
Lineage: Bacteria
Description: partial 16S ribosomal RNA
Rfam family: Bacterial small subunit ribosomal RNA
Source: RNAcentral